CCGGCUGUGGCGCAAUUGGUAGCGCGGUAGACUGUAGUCUUGAUGCUCACCUCGGUAGUCAUCUAUCGGUUCCUGGUUCGAGUCCGGGCAGCCGGA
This is a transfer RNA of Acanthamoeba castellanii str. Neff, 96 nucleotides long. It matches the Rfam family "tRNA". From Rfam's summary of the family: Transfer RNA (tRNA) molecules are approximately 80 nucleotides in length. Their secondary structure includes four short double-helical elements and three loops (D, anti-codon, and T loops). Lineage: Eukaryota; Discosea; Longamoebia; Acanthamoebidae. The record is from Rfam.